CCAUUAGUGCUGGUAUGAUCG
This 21-nucleotide non-coding RNA is filed under the name Arabidopsis thaliana (thale cress). The record is from RNAcentral. Lineage: Eukaryota; Viridiplantae; Streptophyta; Magnoliopsida; Brassicales; Brassicaceae.